GGCAGGGCGGCUGCUAUACAUGCAGUCGAGCGGACAGAUGGGAGCUUGCUCCCUGAUGUUAGCGGCGGACGGGUGAGUAACACGUGGGUAACCUGCCUGUAAGACUGGGAUAACUCCGGGAAACCGGGGCUAAUACCGGAUGGUUGUUUGAACCGCAUGGUUCAGACAUAAAAGGUGGCUUCGGCUACCACUUACAGAUGGACCCGCGGCGCAUUAGCUAGUUGGUGAGGUAACGGCUCACCAAGGCGACGAUGCGUAGCCGACCUGAGAGGGUGAUCGGCCACACUGGGACUGAGACACGGCCCAGACUCCUACGGGAGGCAGCAGUAGGGAAUCUUCCGCAAUGGACGAAAGUCUGACGGAGCAACGCCGCGUGAGUGAUGAAGGUUUUCGGAUCGUAAAGCUCUGUUGUUAGGGAAGAACAAGUGCCGUUCAAAUAGGGCGGCACCUUGACGGUACCUAACCAGAAAGCCACGGCUAACUACGUGCCAGCAGCCGCGGUAAUACGUAGGUGGCAAGCGUUGUCCGGAAUUAUUGGGCGUAAAGGGCUCGCAGGCGGUUUCUUAAGUCUGAUGUGAAAGCCCCCGGCUCAACCGGGGAGGGUCAUUGGAAACUGGGGAACUUGAGUGCAGAAGAGGAGAGUGGAAUUCCACGUGUAGCGGUGAAAUGCGUAGAGAUGUGGAGGAACACCAGUGGCGAAGGCGACUCUCUGGUCUGUAACUGACGCUGAGGAGCGAAAGCGUGGGGAGCGAACAGGAUUAGAUACCCUGGUAGUCCACGCCGUAAACGAUGAGUGCUAAGUGUUAGGGGUUUCCGCCCCUUAGUGCUGCAGCUAACGCAUUAAGCACUCCGCCUGGGGAGUACGGUCGCAAGACUGAAACUCAAAGGAAUUGACGGGGGCCCGCACAAGCGGUGGAGCAUGUGGUUUAAUUCGAAGCAACGCGAAGAACCUUACCAGGUCUUGACAUCCUCUGACAAUCCUAGAGAUAGGACGUCCCCUUCGGGGGCAGAGUG
RNAcentral lists this ribosomal RNA (1014 nucleotides) under Bacillus velezensis. Its description in RNAcentral is "bacterial SSU rRNA". It matches the Rfam family "Bacterial small subunit ribosomal RNA", at positions 38 to 1033 of the family's 1533-position model. The record is from RNAcentral. Lineage: Bacteria; Bacillati; Bacillota; Bacilli; Caryophanales; Bacillaceae.